This 488-nucleotide ribosomal RNA is filed under the name uncultured Actinomycetes bacterium. RNAcentral describes it as "bacterial SSU rRNA". It matches the Rfam family "Bacterial small subunit ribosomal RNA", at positions 355 to 857 of the family's 1533-position model. The record is from RNAcentral. Lineage: Bacteria; Bacillati; Actinomycetota; Actinomycetes.
UGGGGAAUCUUGCACAAUGGGCGAAAGCCUGAUGCAGCAACGCCGCGUGCGGGAAGAAGGCCCUAGGGUUGUAAACCGCUUUCAGUAGGGAAGAAAAUGACGGUACCUACAGAAGAAGGUGCGGCCAACUACGUGCCAGCAGCCGCGGUGACACGUAGGCACCAAGCGUUAUCCGGAUUUAUUGGGCGUAAAGAGCUCGUAGGCGGUUCGGUAAGUCGCGUGUGAAAACUCUGGGCUCAACCCAGAGACGCCACGCGAUACUGCUGUGACUAGAGUGCGGUAGGGGAGCGGGGAAUUCAUGGUGUAGCGGUGAAAUGCGCAGAUAUCAUGAGGAACACCAGCGGCGAAGGCGCCGCUCUGGGCCGUAACUGACGCUGAGGAGCGAAAGCAUGGGUAGCAAACAGGAUUAGAUACCCUGGUAGUCCAUGCCGUAAACGUUGGGCACUAGGUGUGGGUCUCAACCAACGAGAUCCGCGCCGUCGCUAACG